Sturnus vulgaris (Common starling) is the source of this 983-nucleotide non-coding RNA. Lineage: Eukaryota; Metazoa; Chordata; Aves; Passeriformes; Sturnidae. The record is from the annotation of a RefSeq genome assembly.
GUCACCAUCCCUGGAUGUGUUUAACAAAGCCUGGAUGUGGCACUCAGAGCCAGGGUUUAGUUCAUGAGGAGGUGUUGGGUCAUGGGCUGGACUUGGUGAUCUCAAAGGUCUUUUCCAACCCAAUUCAUUCUGUGAUUCUGUGAUUCUGUGAUUCUGUGAGCUGCUCCCAAUAAAUCCUUGCCCUGCCAUGCUCUCCAGCCUUUGGCCAGCAAACACAUCCCAGGGCACCAUUUUGCAAAGCAUUGUGUCACAGUGUAGUUCUGGGACUUAUGGCAAGCUUACAUUUGGAGCUGGAACUAAACUCAUGGUUUCUCCAGAAGUUACUCCAUCUCCCUCAGUCUACAGGCUGACCUCUAAAGAUGACCAGAAUCUGGAGAUGUGCCUUAUCACAGAUUACUCCCCUGAACAGCUGGCUCUUGACUCGGCUGAGCAGCACACAUCUGCUGUGGUGGAGGUGGGAAGUGCUGAGAGCAGCAAGGAAUCCAGCUACCUGUCCACCUACUGGGCCAGGAGGGAUGAGCUGCACUGUGGUGCCAGGCACGAGGGCUUUGGAGAGCUGGAGGGCGAGGACCCUGAGAGUGGUGCCAGCGCUGUCUGUGUCACAGGGCUGUCCCUACACUUCAGGACAGAUGAACACUUGAACACGCUGUCUUUGUCACAGCUGGGCCUCAAAAUAGUUUUAAUGAAAACCAUACUUUUUAAUGUGCUGAUGACGAUGCUUAUGUGGAAGAAAAAAAAAGGACUGAAAGUGGUGCAGUCCUGAAGUACCCAAACCAUCUGCUUUGAGAGAGCUUCGUGAGCAAGAGGGAGCACGGGGAUAUUCCCUGUGCAAGGGACAUCACUUGCUGUUCUUCUAAACCACACCAGCCAUUAUAUUCUAAAUUGCUUUAUUUGCAUUGCUUUAAAACGACUCAAAACGAAACAUUUCCAGCGUUCUGCCCUCCUGGGUCACUCACCAUGCAGAGCCUCUUCUGCUGAAGCCG